CGAACCCGGACACGGAGAUUGGUCCUUCGGGGCCCAGUGCGGUAACGCAAACCAGCUCGGAGACGCCGAUGCGAGCCCCGGGAAGAGUUUUCUUUUCUCUGUAAGGAGAUCGAGUCCCUGGAAUGGGUUCGCCCCGAGAUAGGGAUGGUGGCUCCGUAGAGCAGUGCGGUUCUUGCGCUGUCCGGUGCGCUCGCGUCGGCCCUUGAAAAUCCGAGUGAGGGAGUGUGAUUUUCGUGCCGGACCGUACCCACAUCCGCAGCAGGUCUCCAAGGUGAACAGCCUCUAGUCGAUGGACCAAUGUAGGUAAGGGAAGUCGGCAAAACGGAUCCGUAACCUUGGGAUAAGGAUUGGCUCUGAGGACUGAGCCGGUCGGGCUGGGGACCUGAAGCAGGAACGGCACUGCACCGGGACUGGGCGGGGCUCGCCGUUCACGCGGCGCGGCCAAGCCCGGACCAGCGUCGGGACCUUCCUGUGGAAAGCCUCAGCUGCGCGGCGUCUGAGGGCUUCGUGCCCAAAGUGCUAUGCUUCGGCCGGCAAAAAACAGUCAACUCAGAACUGGCACGGACCGGGGGAAUCCGACUGUCUAAUUAAAACAAAGCAUUGCGAUGGCCGCUGGUCGGUGUUGACGCAAUGUGAUUUCUGCCCAGUGCUCUGAAUGUCAACGUGAAGAGAUUCAUCAAAGCGCGGGUAAACGGCGGGAGUAACUAUGACUCUCUUGUGAGCGGGCUUAGCGCACGCGUUGGAUCACAGAGGGUAGCCCCGAUAGGAUCACCCUAUUCGGCGUUUGUUUCGAGUUUGGCCGCUCGGAGCACCUAGUUACUCGGGGAGUUGGAGCGUGACCAUAAAGUUCGGACCUUGACUAUGGAUCACGGUAGAGCCUCCGACUUCCCACGGGAUGUGUACCUCCUCGAUGGUACCGCUGGAAACGGUUGUCUGAACACCGGCCAAACCACGUCCCAAACCCAGGAUCUACGGGGAAACCCUCCCCGCAGGUUCCACUGCGGCUCGGCGAGUCCGAAAACCCACAAAUCGGAAAGCCACGGGUCAAUGCC
This is a non-coding RNA of Ixodes scapularis (black-legged tick), 1052 nucleotides long. Lineage: Eukaryota; Metazoa; Arthropoda; Arachnida; Ixodida; Ixodidae. The record is from Rfam.